AGACGUCUACAUUAGAUACCCGUGUAGUCCCAGCCGUAAACUAUGCGCGUUAGGUGUAUCGGUGACCACGAGUCACCGAGGUGCCGAAGGGAAACCGUGAAACGUGCCGCCUGGGAAGUACGGACGCAAGGCUGAAACUUAAAGGAAUUGGCGGGGAGCACCACAACGGGUGGAGCCUGCGGUUUAAUUGGACUCAACGCCGGGAAGCUCACCGGAUAAGACAGCGGAAUGAUUGCCGGGCUGAAGACUCUGCAUGACUAGCUG
Molecule: ribosomal RNA, 264 nt
Filed under: uncultured archaeon
Lineage: Archaea
Description: partial 16S ribosomal RNA
Rfam family: Archaeal small subunit ribosomal RNA
Source: RNAcentral